Podarcis muralis (Common wall lizard) is the source of this 77-nucleotide small nucleolar RNA. Its record names the gene SNORD83. It matches the Rfam family "Small nucleolar RNA SNORD83". Rfam says of the family: U83 (SNORD83) and U84 (SNORD84) are members of the C/D class of snoRNA which contain the C (UGAUGA) and D (CUGA) box motifs. They act as guanine methylation guides but lack complementarity to ribosomal RNA. The record is from Ensembl. Lineage: Eukaryota; Metazoa; Chordata; Lepidosauria; Squamata; Lacertidae.
GCCAAAUGAUGUAAAACAGAUAUAGCAUAGCACACAGUGCAAAGAUGACUUACAUCUAUCACCCAAUACUGAUGGCU